RNAcentral lists this transfer RNA (76 nucleotides) under Saccharomyces cerevisiae (brewer's yeast). Its description in RNAcentral is "tRNA-Tyr". It matches the Rfam family "tRNA". From Rfam's summary of the family: Transfer RNA (tRNA) molecules are approximately 80 nucleotides in length. Their secondary structure includes four short double-helical elements and three loops (D, anti-codon, and T loops). Further hydrogen bonds mediate the characteristic L-shaped molecular structure. tRNAs have two regions of fundamental functional importance: the anti-codon, which is responsible for specific mRNA codon recognition, and the 3' end, to which the tRNAs corresponding amino acid is attached (by aminoacyl-tRNA synthetases). tRNAs cope with the degeneracy of the genetic code in two manners: having more than one tRNA (with a specific anti-codon) for a particular amino acid; and 'wobble' base-pairing, i.e. permitting non-standard base-pairing at the 3rd anti-codon position. Lineage: Eukaryota; Fungi; Ascomycota; Saccharomycetes; Saccharomycetales; Saccharomycetaceae. The record is from RNAcentral.
CUCUCGGUAGCCAAGUUGGUUUAAGGCGCAAGACUGUAAAUCUUGAGAUCGGGCGUUCGACUCGCCCCCGGGAGAC